UGACAGGGAAGACUCGGCCUGGUGGCUCCGCUGAGCUGUGAGGCAGACAGGGUGAAGCUAGGAAUGGAUACCUCUCAUUCAUUCAUGUCGCACCCUGGCCUCACUUCAUCUGCUCGCCUGGCUGGUGAGGCAGGACCUCGUACCAUCUGCAACCAGUAAAGCCCUAGUGAAGGGACAGAGAGGGAAAGCCAUCUGCUGAGGUCACACAGCUGGCACACAGCACGCAGCGAGGAACCCGAGGCUCCAAGUGGGGAGAGGACCCAGGACUGGCAGCUCCCUCAGCCUGAAGCAAAGCAGAAGGUCCAGGAUGGAGGCAGCCAUCCCUUCUCCUCCAGCAGGCGGCCAAAGUCCUUCCUGGGAACCGAGACCACACACCCAGUCUCAGGGUCAGAGAGACAACAAAGACUAGGAGAUCCGGAGGAAAAGGGACAGAAGGCCUGUGCGGCAGCUGGCGAACGCCUGUAAUCCUGCACUCUGGAAGGCUGAGGCAGGCAGAUGGCAUGUUCGAGCCCAGCCUCAGCAACUUAGCAAGACCCUGGCUCAAAAUAAAAAAUAAAAAAGGAGCUUGGGUUGUAGCUCAGUGCGAAGGCCCUGGGUUCGAACUCCAGUGCUACAAAAAGGGGGUCUGUCUGGAAACGGAGAGGGAAGUUGAGGACCUAAGGACAGAGUGGCAGAGACCAAGGGACACCCAGACAGGA
This is a long non-coding RNA of Heterocephalus glaber (naked mole-rat), 698 nucleotides long. Lineage: Eukaryota; Metazoa; Chordata; Mammalia; Rodentia; Bathyergidae. The record is from Ensembl.